UGGGGAAUAUUGCACAAUGGGCGCAAGCCUGAUGCAGCCAUGCCGCGUGUGUGAAGAAGGCCUUCGGGUUGUAAAGCAUUUUCAGCGGGGAGGAAGGCGUGAAGGUUAAUAACCUUGGCGAUUGACGUUACCCGCAGAAGAAGCACCGGCUAACGCCGUGCCAGCAGCCGCGGUAAUACGGAGGGUGCAAGGGUUAAUCGGAAUUACUGGGCGUAAAGCGCACGCAGGCGGUCUGUCAAGUCGGAUGUGAAAUCCCCGGGCUCAACCUGGGAACUGCAUUCGAAGCUGGCAGGCUAGAGUCUUGUAGAGGGGGGUAGAAUUCCAGGUGUUGCGGUGAAAUGCGUAGAAGUCUGGAGGAAUACCGGUGGCGAAGGCGGCCCCCUGGCCAAAGACUGACGCUCAGGUGCGAAAGCGUGGGGGGCAAACAGG
RNAcentral lists this ribosomal RNA (429 nucleotides) under Chloroflexota bacterium. RNAcentral's name for it is "Chloroflexi bacterium partial 16S ribosomal RNA". It matches the Rfam family "Bacterial small subunit ribosomal RNA", at positions 355 to 776 of the family's 1533-position model. Lineage: Bacteria; Bacillati; Chloroflexota. The record is from RNAcentral.